GGGAAGGUGGCUCAGUGGUAGAGUGCUUGCCUUGCAUGCAUGAGACCCUGGUUCGAUUCCUCAGUACCA
RNAcentral lists this transfer RNA (69 nucleotides) under Dipodomys ordii (Ord's kangaroo rat). It matches the Rfam family "tRNA". Rfam says of the family: Transfer RNA (tRNA) molecules are approximately 80 nucleotides in length. Their secondary structure includes four short double-helical elements and three loops (D, anti-codon, and T loops). Lineage: Eukaryota; Metazoa; Chordata; Mammalia; Rodentia; Heteromyidae. The record is from Rfam by way of RNAcentral.